CCCUUAGAUGUCCUGGGCCGCACGCGCGCUACACUGAUGCAUGCAACGAGUUUAUAACCUUGGCCUGAAAGGUCUGGGUAAUCUUUUGAACGUGCAUCGUGAUAGGGAUAGAUUAUUGCAAUUGUUAAUCUUGAACGAGGAAUUCCUAGUAAACGCGAGUCAUCAGCUCGCAUUGAUUACGUCCCUGCCCUUUGUACACACCGCCCGUCGCACCUACCGAUUGAAUGGUUCGGUGAAGAUCUCGGACUUCGAUAUUUAUUCUUUAUUGAGUUUAUAUUGUGGGAAGUUAUCUAAACCUCAUCAUCUAGAGGAAGGUGAAGUCGUAACA
RNAcentral lists this ribosomal RNA (328 nucleotides) under uncultured eukaryote. Its description in RNAcentral is "partial 18S ribosomal RNA". It matches the Rfam family "Eukaryotic small subunit ribosomal RNA", at positions 1470 to 1796 of the family's 1831-position model. The record is from RNAcentral.